GGGACUCUCCGGGCGACAAGUCCAUACAUCGAGGCGACGGUUGCCAGGAACCCGGUGCGAAUCCGGGACGGUCCCGCCACUGUCACCCCGCGCGAGUCACCGCUCACCCGCGCGCGGAAGUCAGGAACUGACCCGUCGUCCUCCUGCUUC
Molecule: non-coding RNA, 150 nt
Filed under: Streptomyces alboflavus
Lineage: Bacteria; Bacillati; Actinomycetota; Actinomycetes; Kitasatosporales; Streptomycetaceae
Source: RNAcentral